RNAcentral lists this transfer RNA (94 nucleotides) under Pseudogymnoascus sp. VKM F-4520 (FW-2644). The record is from Rfam by way of RNAcentral. Lineage: Eukaryota; Fungi; Ascomycota; Leotiomycetes; Thelebolales; Thelebolaceae.
UCCCUCGUGGCGCAAUUGGCUAGCGCGUUCGACUGUUACCAGUAUAUUCUGCUCGCAAAUCGAGAGGUUGGUGGUUCAAGCCCACCCGAGGGAG